GAUGAACGCUGGCGGCGUGCCUAAUACAUGCAAGUCGAGCGAACAGACGAGGAGCUUGCUCCUCUGACGUUAGCGGCGGACGGGUGAGUAACACGUGGAUAACCUACCUAUAAAACUGGGAUAACUUCGGGAAACCUGAGCUAAUACCGGAUAAUAUAUUGAACCGCAUGGUUCAAUAGUGAAAGACGGUUUUGCUGUCACUUAUAGAUGGAUCCGCGCCGCAUUAGCUAGUUGGUAAGGUAACGGCUUACCAAGGCGACGAUGCGUAGCCGACCUGGGAGGGUGAUAGGCCACACUGGAACUGAGACACGGUCCAGACUCCUACGGGAGGCAGCAGUAGGGAAUCUUCCGCAAUGGGCGAAAGCCUGACGGAGCAACGCCGCGUGAGUGAUGAAGGUCUUCGGAUCGUAAAACUCUGUUAUUAGGGAAGAACAAAUGUGUAAGUAACUAUGCACGUCUUGACGGUACCUAAUCAGAAAGCCACGGCUAACUACGUG
Molecule: ribosomal RNA, 497 nt
Filed under: uncultured bacterium
Lineage: Bacteria
Description: partial 16S ribosomal RNA
Rfam family: Bacterial small subunit ribosomal RNA
Source: RNAcentral